GAUGAACGCUGGCGGCGUGCCUAAUACAUGCAAGUCGAGCGAACAGAUGAGGAGCUUGCUCCCCUGACGUUAGCGGCGGACGGGUGAGUAACACGUGGAUAACCUACCUAUAAGACUGGGAUAACUUCGGGAAACCGGAGCUAAUACCGGACAAUAUAUUGAACCGCAUGGUUCAAUAGUGAAAGACGGUUUUGCUGUCACUUAUAGAUGGAUCCGCGCCGCAUUAGCUAGUUGGUAAGGUAACGGCUUACCAAGGCAACGAUGCGUAGCCGACCUGAGAGGGUGAUCGGCCACACUGGAACUGAGACACGGUCCAGACUCCUACGGGAGGCAGCAGUAGGGAAUCUUCCGCAAUGGGCGAAAGCCUGACGGAGCAACGCCGCGUGAGUGAUGAAGGUCUUCGGAUCGUAAAACUCUGUUAUUAGGGAAGAACAAAUGUGUAAGUAACUAUGCACGUCUUGACGGUACCUAAUCAGAAAGCCACGGCUAACUACGUG
Molecule: ribosomal RNA, 497 nt
Filed under: uncultured bacterium
Lineage: Bacteria
Description: partial 16S ribosomal RNA
Rfam family: Bacterial small subunit ribosomal RNA
Source: RNAcentral